This 506-nucleotide ribosomal RNA is filed under the name uncultured bacterium. RNAcentral describes it as "partial 16S ribosomal RNA". It matches the Rfam family "Bacterial small subunit ribosomal RNA", at positions 30 to 523 of the family's 1533-position model. The record is from RNAcentral.
AUUGAACGCUGGCGGCAGGCCUAACACAUGCAAGUCGAACGGUAACAGGAAGCAGCUUGCUGCUUUGCUGACGAGUGGCGGACGGGUGAGUAAUGUCUGGGAAACUGCCCGAUGGAGGGGGAUAACUACUGGAAACGGUAGCUAAUACCGCAUAACGUCGCAAGACCAAAGAGGGGGACCUUCGGGCCUCUUGCCAUCGGAUGUGCCCAGAUGGGAUUAGCUUGUUGGUGAGGUAACGGCUCACCAAGGCGACGAUCCCUAGCUGGUCUGAGAGGAUGACGAGCCACACGGGAACUGGGACACGGUCCAGACUCCUACGGGAGGCAGCAGUGGGGAAUAUUGCACAAUGGGCGCAAGCCUGAUGCAGCCAUGCCGCGUGUAUGAAGAAGGCCUUCGGGUUGUAAAGUACUUUCAGCGGGGAGGAAGGUGUUGUGGUUAAUAACCGCAGCAAUUGACGUUACCCGCAGAAGAAGCACCGGCUAACUCCGUGCCAGCCGCCGCCGUAA